RNAcentral lists this long non-coding RNA (259 nucleotides) under Rosa chinensis. Its description in RNAcentral is "sRNA RchiOBHm_Chr7g0187031". The stretch from base 87 to 259 matches the Rfam family "mir-166 microRNA precursor family". Rfam says of the family: This family represents the plant microRNA (miRNA) precursor mir-166. Animal miRNAs are transcribed as ~70nt precursors and subsequently processed by the Dicer enzyme to give a ~22nt product. In plants the precursor sequences may be longer, and the carpel factory (caf) enzyme appears to be involved in processing. Lineage: Eukaryota; Viridiplantae; Streptophyta; Magnoliopsida; Rosales; Rosaceae. The record is from RNAcentral.
GAGUCUCGGUCUCUCUUCGUUUCUUCAGUCUAGGGUUGGUUUUGUGAGAUGGAGAGGAUCAAAGAAAACAAGGGAGUCUUGUGUUUUUUGAGGGGAAUGUUGUCUGGCUCGAGGCCCCUAUAACCAGAUCUAUGAUCUAACUCAUCUCAAUUGACAAAAUUUGGUCAUCGGUCUAUGAUAUCAUAGAUUUGAUCCAAUUGAGAUGCAGAUCAUUGAAUCUACAUUUAGCGACGUCGGACCAGGCUUCAUUCCCCCCAAU